RNAcentral lists this ribosomal RNA (501 nucleotides) under uncultured bacterium. Its description in RNAcentral is "bacterial SSU rRNA". It matches the Rfam family "Bacterial small subunit ribosomal RNA", at positions 899 to 1397 of the family's 1533-position model. The record is from RNAcentral.
ACUCAAAUGAAUUGACGGGGACCCGCACAAGCAGCGGAGCAUGUGGUUUAAUUCGAUGCAACGCGAAGAACCUUACCAGGACUUGACAUCCCUCUGACCGGUAUAGAGAUAUACCCUUUUCUUCGGAAACAGAGGUGACAGGUGGUGCAUGGUUGUCGUCAGCUCGUGUCGUGAGAUGUUGGGUUAAGUCCCGCAACGAGCGCAACCCCUAUCUUUAGUUGCUAACAGGUUAAGCUGAGCACUCUAGAGAGACUGCCGGUGAUAAACCGGAGGAAGGUGGGGAUGACGUCAAAUCAUCAUGCCCUUUAUGUCCUGGGCUACACACGUGCUACAAUGGUCGGUACAGAGGGCAGCAAGCUAGCGAUAGUAAGCUAAUCCCACAAAGCCGAUCCCAGUUCGGAUUGCAGGCUGCAAUUCGCCUGCAUGAAGCCGGAGUUGCUAGUAAUCGUGGAUCAGAAUGCCGCGGUGAAUGCGUUCCCGGGUCUUGUACACACCGCCCGU